UACGUAGGGGGCAAGCGUUGUCCGGAAUCAUUGGGCGUAAAGAGCGUGUAGGCGGCCUGGUAAGUCCGCUGUGAAAGUCCAGGGCUCAACCCUGGAAUGCCGGUGGAAACUGUCAGGCUCGAGUCCGGAAGAGGAGAGUGGAAUUCCUGGUGUAGCGGUGAAAUGCGCAGAUAUCAGGAAGAACACCCGUGGCUAAGGCGGCUCUCUAGUACGGUACUGACGCUGAGACGCGAAAGCGUGGGGAGCGAACAGG
RNAcentral lists this ribosomal RNA (253 nucleotides) under uncultured bacterium. RNAcentral describes it as "partial 16S ribosomal RNA". It matches the Rfam family "Bacterial small subunit ribosomal RNA", at positions 524 to 776 of the family's 1533-position model. The record is from RNAcentral.